Molecule: long non-coding RNA, 440 nt
Organism: Mercurialis annua (annual mercury)
Lineage: Eukaryota; Viridiplantae; Streptophyta; Magnoliopsida; Malpighiales; Euphorbiaceae
Exons: 4
Source: RefSeq, a predicted model, not a curated record
UUCCCUUUAUAUUAUCAUUUCCUCAACCCUAAUCUCAUUCUUACACUUCAACAAAACCCUAGCCACCAUCUUAACCAAAAUCCAAUAAAAAUCAUUCUUUCCAUCCCUCUCAUUCCUGGGUUUGAUCGAAUCAAUUUGAGAUCCGUCUUGUCUCAGUCGUAGUAGACACAAUCCUCUAUAAUUUCUAAGCUUCAGAAUCGAAUUUGACUCGUCGAUUGUUUGUGCUUCGGAGGCGAACCAUGAUUAGAUUGCUUGCCUGGUUAUCACGUGGAUUAGCAAGUUGGUUAUGAUCUGAGAGUCUGGUGAUCUCCGCAGUUACUAUUCCUCGGAGGUUCCAUUUAUUUUUGAUAAACUGUAAAACUGUUUUAUUCUUAGACCGCAGUAGUAAUUAGACGUCUUUAUUAUUAUUAUAUAUUUUGUCGGAUUGGUUCGACUGGUUA